GGGAUAUGAUGAGUGGUCAUUACUCGCAAGCGUUGCGAGAUGGGUGUCCGCCGCAAAGCCUGGUUACGACACUUGGGCACUCCCAUUUUUACCAUCUGAUCCC
Non-coding RNA from Gossypium raimondii (Peruvian cotton), 103 nucleotides. NCBI's taxonomy places the organism in Eukaryota, Viridiplantae, Streptophyta, Magnoliopsida, Malvales, Malvaceae. The record is from Rfam.